AUUUCCAUGACUACACUUUGUCACAUCCUCUAGAGAUUUUCAUACUUCUACUUGUCUACACACACAAACACAUAUAUAUCAAAGCUCAAUCUGCCACUUUGAGAAUCUCAAUGAGGAUGCCAUUCAAAUUCAGCAACUAGCUUCUAAACAAGAUGCACAGUUGCACCGGGCUGGGGUAUGCAUAUGGCUAGUGAGCUUCCUGGUGCAGGCACAUCAGUGUUUCCAAUAACUCGAGUGAGUGCUGAAACCAUGGACGACAUGUCUUGUUGGGAUCUAGCUGAGUAGACAGGAAAGAUGUUAUUGUGUUCUUCUUCUUCUUCUUUUUUCUCUGAUGAAUCAUCAGAUGAAAGGGGCCUCUUCCCAUACCUGUUUGGAUCCACUUUAUGACCUUAAUUUCUUACAAACUUUUAUAUAGUUAUAAAUAUAUACUUAAUAUAUGAAUUUGUAAAAGUAGUUUACUUCA
Long non-coding RNA from Cornus florida, 463 nucleotides. RefSeq lists it as uncharacterized. The transcript is spliced from 2 exons. The record is from RefSeq and is a predicted model, not a curated record. NCBI's taxonomy places the organism in Eukaryota, Viridiplantae, Streptophyta, Magnoliopsida, Cornales, Cornaceae.